This 1946-nucleotide ribosomal RNA is filed under the name human metagenome. RNAcentral describes it as "bacterial LSU rRNA". It matches the Rfam family "Bacterial large subunit ribosomal RNA", at positions 35 to 1979 of the family's 2925-position model. The record is from RNAcentral.
GGUAGUAAGAGCCGAUGAAGGACGUGGUAAGCUGCGAUAAGCCUAGAUAAGUUGCAAUCGAACGUAAGAGUCUAGGAUUUCCGAAUGGAGCAAUCUAUUAAGAUGGAGUCUUAAUACGAAAGAGGGAACCGCGUGAACUGAAACAUCUAAGUAACGCGAGGAAAAGAAAGUAAAAACGAUACCCAAAGUAGCGGCGAGCGAAAUGGGUCAAGCCUAAACCUUAAAUAUGUCAAGGAUACAGCCGUUGUAUUUAAGGGGUUGAGGGACAGAGUUGUGAAGAACUGUAAGCUAUUCAAUAUAGUGUAUUGAUGAAUUAGAAUUGUCUGGAAAGGUGAACCGCAGAAGGUGAAAGUCCUGUAUAAGUAAAUCCUUACACAUAUAACUUUGCUCCCAAGUAACAUGGAACACGAGGAAUUCUGUGUGAAUCUGUGAGGACCAUAUCUCAUAAGGCUAAAUACUCUUACUAACCGAUAGCGCAUAGUACCGUGAGGGAAAGGUGAAAAGAACCCCUGGAGGGGAGUGAAAUAGAACCUGAAAUUGUGUGCUUACAAGCGGUCAGAGCCAGCAAUGGUGAUGGCGUGCCUUUUGGAGAAUGAUCCUGCGAGUUACGUUAAACGGCGAGGUUAAGUAUAACGGAGCCGAAGGGAAACCAAGUCUUAAUAGGGCGAUUUAGUCGUUUGGCGUAGACGCGAAACCUGGUGAUCUAAACCUGUCCAGGAUGAAGCUGUGGUAAGACACAGUGGAGGUCCUAACCCACCGCCGUUGAAAAGUUGGGGGAUGAGGUAGGUUUAGGGGUGAAAAGCCAAUCGAACCAGGAGAUAGCUCGUUCUCUCCGAAAUGCAUCUAGGUGCAGCCUUGAGUGUUCAAUUAUGGGGGUAGAGCACUGAAUGAUCUAGGGGGCGUAUUGCUUACUGAAAUCAAUCAAACUCCGAAUACCAUAAUUUAUAGCUCAGGAGUGAGACUAUGGGAGUUAACUUCCAUUGUCAAAAGGGAAACAACCCAGACCACCAGCUAAGGUCCCUAAUUAUAACUAAGUGGGAAAGGAGGUGGAGAUUCACAAACAACUAGGAGGUUGGCUUAGAAGCAGCCAUACCUUUAAAGAGUGCGUAAUAGCUCACUAGUCGAGAGUCUCUGCGCCGACAAUGUAACGGGGCUAAGUUAUAAACCGAAGCUGUGGAAUCCGUAAGGAUUGGUAGGAGAGCGUUCUGUAGGCCGUUGAAGGAGAAGGGUAACCAACUCUGGAGGUAUCAGAAGUGAGAAUGCAGGAAUAAGUAGCGAGAAAGGGGGCGAGAAUCCCCCUCGCCGGAAGACCAAGGUUUUCAGGGUAAAGCUUGUCUUCCCUGAGUAAGCCGGGACCUAAGCCCAGGCUAUAAUGCGUAGGCGAAUGGAAAACAGAUUAAUAUUUCUGUGCCAGUCAUAUAUUGUGAUGGAGGGACGCAGAAGGGUAUGCGCGCGGACGAACGGAAGUGUCCGUAGAAGUAUGUAGGAUGACUCAGUAGGAAAAUCCAUUGAGUUAUAUCUGAGGUAUGAUAUACAGUCGUAAGAUGAAUGCGCAAAUCCCACGCUGCCAAGAAAAGCUUCUAACGUUAAUAUUUGACUGCCCGUACUGCAAACCGACACAGGUGGUCAGGAUGAGAAAUCUAAGGCGGACAGGCUAACUCUCGUUAAGGAACUCUGCAAAAUAACCUCGUAACUUCGGGAGAAGAGGAGCCCUUGAGGGUCAGUAUCCACGCGAUACAAAGCGCUCGAGGGUCGCAGUGAAGAGGCUCAAGCAACUGUUUAACAAAAACACAGGUCUAUGCUAAGCUGGAAGGCGAUGUAUAUGGGCUGACACCUGCCCAGUGCUGGAAGGUUAAGAGGAGGAGUGAGAGCUCCGAAUUGAAGCCCCAGUGAACGGCGGCCGUAACUAUAACGGUCCUAAGGUAGCGAAAUUCCUUGUCGGGUAA